Molecule: ribosomal RNA, 253 nt
Filed under: uncultured bacterium
Lineage: Bacteria
Description: partial 16S ribosomal RNA
Rfam family: Bacterial small subunit ribosomal RNA
Source: RNAcentral
UACGUAGGGUGCGAGCGUUAAUCGGAAUUAUUGGGCGUAAAGAGCUCGUAGGCGGCUUGUCACGUCGGGUGUGAAAGCCCGGGGCUUAACCCCGGGUCUGCAUUCGAUACGGGCUAGCUAGAGUGUGGUAGGGGAGAUCGGAAUUCCUGGUGUAGCGGUGAAAUGCGCAGAUAUCAGGAGGAACACCGGUGGCGAAGGCGGAUCUCUGGGCCAUUACUGACGCUGAGGAGCGAAAGCGUGGGGAGCGAACAGG